Molecule: ribosomal RNA, 367 nt
Filed under: Pleurocera catenaria
Lineage: Eukaryota; Metazoa; Mollusca; Gastropoda; Pleuroceridae
Description: partial small subunit ribosomal RNA
Rfam family: Bacterial small subunit ribosomal RNA
Source: RNAcentral
UUCUAAGCGUAAAUUGACAACUCUACCAGAGUACUAUGAAUUUUAUAUUUAAAACUCAAAAGACUUGGCGGUGCUUUAGACUCCUCAGGGGAACCUGUUUCGUAAUCGACAGUCCACGCAAAACCUUCCCUUCUUUUGGAAUCAGCAUGUAUACCGUCGUCGUCAGGCAACUUUUAAGAAUACUUGAAGUUGGCAACAGAGCUGUUAUAAGCUUUAACGUCAGAUCAAGGUGCAGCCUAUAAGAGGGUGAGAAUGGGUUACAAUUAAAAAUAAUAAUCACGGACAAAUAAUGUAAUUUUUUUAGAAGGAGGACUUGAAAGUAAAGAUACUAUAAUAUAAAUUUCCUGAAUUAAGCUCUGAAGCGUGC